UGGCCCACGGUCGGGAUGCGUUACGGUUAUGCUGUCAGCAAUCCUCGGCGCGGAUCAGAAAUAUGCUCACGAAUUGAGCCGGUUCGGCCGCGAUUCUGGAUUAAUGCCGCCCACUACUUCAUUUAAUGUACCCAGCCGUUGUACUCCCUCCGUCCAAAAAUACUUGUCCUCGAAAUGGUUGUAUCUAGACUUAUUUUAGUUAUAGAUACAUUUAUUUUAUCCAUUUGGAGGACAAGUAUUUCCGGACGGAGGGAGUAGCUACCAAUCUUCUUGAACACGCUCCUCUUCAUAAUCCCCUUCAUCCAGCCGGCCGCUCACCCAGAUCUGCAGCUCCACCAGAACUCACUCCAGCCAUUGCCAGCAACUCCAACGCUUCCUAGCCAUGUCUGCAUCUUCCUCGUCGGUAGGCCAUGACGAGGUCUGGCCUCUUGUUCCAUGCAAGGACUGCCAUGCCCGGAUUUACACUUGGAUUGCUCACAGCGGAUUAAACGCUGGUCACUUCUACAAGUGAGUCAAUACGGAUAGAGGGCUCUGUGGAUACAUGAGGUCGAGCGAGGAGUAUCGUGCUCAGCUGAGUGACCAGAUUGUUGGAGAUCCUGUAGCCGCCCCUCAUCAACCCGCAGCUUACAGGCACCAGAGAGCUAGAUCAGGCGAACCAAUGGAGGAGUGGAGCCGCGGAAGCGAGCUUGCACGGAAUGGCCGAGCGGAGCAGCAGGCAUGGAGCGGGCACGCUCGGGUUAACACAGGAGGCGCAGCGGCGGCCACGUCAUGCCUCCUUGUUAUGCUAGUUGCUGCCAUACUGCCACUGGUGGUCGGAGUGUUUAUGUUAGCCAAGAUAGCCUAUUUGCUUCGUAGGUAGGAGAAUAGGUUAGUGCAGCCGUGUUCGUCAGAUAUCCUUGUGGUGCUAAGUUAAAUCCUUGUAAUCACUCAUGUCCGCCAGUAAUGAAUUAUGUUCCCGGUAUUAAUCUAAUUUUGUUGA
Molecule: long non-coding RNA, 979 nt
Organism: Triticum dicoccoides
Lineage: Eukaryota; Viridiplantae; Streptophyta; Magnoliopsida; Poales; Poaceae
Exons: 2
Source: RefSeq, a predicted model, not a curated record